AGCACUCAAAGGGCACUCGAUCCAUCGACGCCGUCGAUCCUACCGUUCGACCUACAAGUCAGAUGAACUGCCUGCCUCCCACCGUGUUUUCUUUCGAGAAAGUAGUCCCGGGCAUGAAGAUUUAUUUACUUGAACGAUACCUCCUGCCGGCUUUACGAUCAACUUGCAUGACACGUCUCUCGCGCUGCAGCGCUGCUCCGAUCGCUCGAGUGCUACCAUCUGACAUUUAUAACAGCGCGUCGCGUCGUCUUUGUAUAAAGUUCUGUUCUAUGCGACUAAAAGGAUAGCUGACUAAGUCACGGAAUUGAUCCUAACUUUUAAAACAGACACAAGUUCUAUAAUAAUCUACUAGUCAUCUUAACCGUCAACUACAACACUGAACCUUUUGGAUCCGAACGAAUAUUUUAAUGACGUUUGCGCAACAAUCCACUCCGAACGAUCUGUCAUGGGACGUUGUGAUACUUAUAUCAGCUUUACGACAUACAGAUUCAGUGAAAAGCGAACGACGUACUAUCCGGUUGUCCUGACUUAAUUAAAUGGUUUAAGUUCCAACGAAAAUCCGAGGCCGAUAUCCGACGGCGAAGCCACGGGAAAAAAUAUUUCAACCGGAUUAAGUACGUAAGCUUUAGAAAAAGGUUACGGAGG
Long non-coding RNA from Mycetomoellerius zeteki, 645 nucleotides. RefSeq lists it as uncharacterized. The transcript is spliced from 3 exons. Lineage: Eukaryota; Metazoa; Arthropoda; Insecta; Hymenoptera; Formicidae. The record is from RefSeq and is a predicted model, not a curated record.